ACUCCUACGGGAGGCAGCAGUGGGGAAUAUUGCACAAUGGGCGCAAGCCUGAUGCAGCCAUGCCGCGUGUGUGAAGAAGGCCUUCGGGUUGUAAAGCACUUUUCAGUUGUGAGGAAGGUGGUGUCGUUAAUAGCGGCAUCAUUUGACGUUAGCAACAGAAGAAGCACCGGCUAACUCCGUGCCAGCAGCCGCGGUAAUACGGAGGGUGCGAGCGUUAAUCGGAAUUACUGGGCGUAAAGCGCAUGCAGGUGGUUUGUUAAGUCAGAUGUGAAAGCCCGGGGCUCAACCUCGGAACUGCAUUGAAACUGGCAGACUAGAGUACUGUAGAGGGGGGUAGAAUUUCAGGUGUAGCGGUGAAAUGCGUAGAGAUCUAGAAGGAAUACCGGUGGCGAAGGCGGCCCCCUGGACAGAUACUGACACUCAGAUGCG
RNAcentral lists this ribosomal RNA (429 nucleotides) under uncultured bacterium. RNAcentral's name for it is "bacterial SSU rRNA". It matches the Rfam family "Bacterial small subunit ribosomal RNA", at positions 335 to 755 of the family's 1533-position model. The record is from RNAcentral.